UGGGGAAUCUUGCGCAAUGGGCGAAAGCCUGACGCAGCGACGCCGCGUGCGGGAAGAAGGCCUUCGGGUUGUAAACCGCUUUCAGGAGGGACGAAGCCACUCGGGUUAAUAGCCCAGAGGGUGACGGUACCUCCAGAAGAAGCCCCGGCUAACUACGUGCCAGCAGCCGCGGUAAUACGUAGGGGGCAAGCGUUGUCCGGAUUUAUUGGGCGUAAAGCGCGUGUAGGCGGCCAGGUAGGUCCGUUGUGAAAACUCGAGGCUCAACCUCGAGACGUCGACGGAAACCAUCUGGCUAGAGUCCGGAAGAGGAGAGUGGAAUUCCUGGUGUAGCGGUGAAAUGCGCAGAUAUCAGGAAGAACACCCGUGGCGAAGGCGGCUCUCUGGGACGGUACUGACGCUGAGACGCGAAAGCGUGGGGAGCGAACAGGAUUAGAUACCCUGGUAGUCCACGCCGUAAACGAUGGGAACUAGGUGUGGGCGGUGUCGACUCCGUCCGUGCCGAAGCUAACGCAUUAAGUUCCCCGCCUGGGGAGUACGGCCGCAAGGCUAA
This 550-nucleotide ribosomal RNA is filed under the name uncultured Actinomycetes bacterium. RNAcentral describes it as "bacterial SSU rRNA". It matches the Rfam family "Bacterial small subunit ribosomal RNA", at positions 355 to 897 of the family's 1533-position model. The record is from RNAcentral. Lineage: Bacteria; Bacillati; Actinomycetota; Actinomycetes.